CAACUGUUCAUGCUUGCAUGAAAACAGCUGCCUUUUUUAGAGGACCGCCCCCACAUGAGCAUGAAGCUUGAUAGAGCGAGAAUGCGAAUGUGGGAAGGAUUGCGGGAGCGCGCAGCGCGCAGCAAUCCGG
Molecule: small RNA, 130 nt
Filed under: uncultured Anaerobutyricum sp.
Lineage: Bacteria; Bacillati; Bacillota; Clostridia; Lachnospirales; Lachnospiraceae
Description: Clostridiales-1 RNA
Rfam family: Clostridiales-1 RNA
Source: RNAcentral